Molecule: ribosomal RNA, 429 nt
Filed under: Bacteroidota bacterium
Lineage: Bacteria; Pseudomonadati; Bacteroidota
Description: Bacteroidetes bacterium partial 16S ribosomal RNA
Rfam family: Bacterial small subunit ribosomal RNA
Source: RNAcentral
UAGGGAAUCUUCCGCAAUGGACGCAAGUCUGACGGAGCAACGCCGCGUGAGUGAAGAAGGAUUUCGGUUCGUAAAACUCUGUUGUUAGAGAAGAACAGCGCAUAGAGUAACUGUUAUGCGUGUGACGGUAUCUAACCAGAAAGCCACGGCUAACUACGUGCCAGCAGCCGCGGUAAUACGUAGGUGGCAAGCGUUGUCCGGAUUUAUUGGGCGUAAAGUGAGCGCAGGCGGUCAAUUAAGUCUGAUGUGAAAGCCCCCGGCUCAACCGGGGAGGGUCAUUGGAAACUGGUUGACUUGAGUGCAGAAGAGGAGAGUGGAAUUCCAUGUGUAGCGGUGAAAUGCGUAGAUAUAUGGAGGAACACCAGUGGCGAAGGAGACUCUCUGGUCUGUAACUGACGCUGAGGCUCGAAAGCGUGGGUAGCAAACAGG